UCCGGCUUUCACCGGCUGUCUCUCUAGAGUGCCCAGCUUUACCUGCUGGCAACUAAAAAUAAGGGUUGCGCUCGUUGCGGGACUGAACCCAACAUCUCACGACACGAGCUGACGACAACCAUGCACCACCUGUCUCCUCUGUCCCGAAGGCCAGUAAUAUCUCUACUACUUCCAGAGGGAUGUCAAGACCUGGUAAGGUUCUUCGCGUUGCUUCGAAUUAAACCACAUGCUCCACCGCUUGUGCGGGCCCCCGUCAAUUCCUUUGAGUUUCAGCCUUGCGGCCGUACUCCCCAGGCGGAGUGCUUAAUGGGUUUCCUUCGGCACUGUAGGUCGUUGACCUCCAACACCUAGCACUCAUCGUUUACAGCGUGGACUAC
RNAcentral lists this unclassified non-coding RNA (377 nucleotides) under uncultured Caryophanales bacterium. RNAcentral's name for it is "uncultured Bacillales bacterium contains 16S-23S intergenic spacer region". Lineage: Bacteria; Bacillati; Bacillota; Bacilli; Caryophanales. The record is from RNAcentral.